UGAGUACGAGACGCUAAGGCGUCGAAGUAGUGGAUGUCAUACUUCCAAGAAAAGCUUGCACUGCCAUAAAUAUAAAAUGCCUGUACCAUAACCGACACAGGUGGGUAAGUAGAGUAUACUAAGGGGCGCGAGAUAACUCUCUCUAAGGAACUCGGCAAAAUAACUCCGUAACUUCGGGAGAAGGAGUGCCUUAUUCUUAAGGUUGCAAUAACAAGAUCCAAGCAACUGUUUAUCAAAAACACAGGUCUCCGCUAAGUCGUAAGACGAUGUAUGGGGGCUGACGCCUGCCCAGUGCCAGAAGGUUAAAGAAGUCGGUUAGCAAUAGCAAAGCUGGUAACUGAAGCCCUGGUGAACGGCGGCCGUAACGAUAACGGUCCUAAGGUAGCGAAAUUCCUUGUCGGGUAAGUUCCGACCCGCACGAAAGGCGUAAUGAUUUGGAUGCUGUCUCGGAGAGGGGCUCGGUGAAAUAGACUUGUCUGUGAAGAUGCGGACUACCUGCACCAGGACAGAAAGACCCUAUGAAGCUUUACUGUAACUUGAAAUUGAAAUUGGACUUUAUUCGCGCAGUAUAGGUGGGAGGCGUUGAUUAUAAUCUUGUGGGAUUAUUGGAGCCAUCAGUGAGAUACCACUCUUGUAAUGUUAGAUUUCUAACUUUGAAUCAUUAUCUGGUCAAAGGACAGUUUCAGGCGGGCAGUUUGACUGGGGCGGUCGCCUCCUAAACGGUAACGGAGGCGUACAAAGUUUUCCUCUGAACGGUUAGAAAUCGUAUCUAGAGUGUAAAGGCAUAAGGAAGCUUGACUGUGAGACCUACAAGUCGAGCAGGGACGAAAGUCGGUCUUAGUGAUCUGACGGUACUGAGUGGAAAGGCCGUCACUCAACGGAUAAAAGUUACUCUAGGAUAACAGGCUGAUCUCCCCCAAGAGUUCACAUUGACGGGGAGGUUUGGCACCUCGAUGUCGGCUCAUCGCAUCCUGGGGCGGUAGUACGUCCCAAGGGUUGGGCUGUUCGCCCAUGAAAGCGGUACGCGAGCUGGGUUCAGAACGUCGUGAGACAGUUCGGUCCAUAUCCGGUGUAGGCGCUAGAAUAUUGAGAGGAGCCUUCUUUAGUACGAGAGGACCGAGAAGGACAUACCUCUGGUGUACCAGUUAUCGUGCCAACGGUAAACGCUGGGUAGCUAUGUAUGGAGUGGAUAACCGCUGAAAGCAUCUAAGUGGGAAGCCCACCUCAAGAUAAGUAUUCUCAC
RNAcentral lists this ribosomal RNA (1243 nucleotides) under metagenome. Its description in RNAcentral is "bacterial LSU rRNA". It matches the Rfam family "Bacterial large subunit ribosomal RNA", at positions 1564 to 2817 of the family's 2925-position model. The record is from RNAcentral.